UUAGAAAUGUUUUAUCAAUCAAAUUAGACAAAUAGCAAAGUGGAGAAAAUAUACGAUCCACGUACUAUAUUUUAGCAAGAAGAUAAGGGAUAUAGUAUUAACAGAUUACUUCAAAGGUCCAAAAAUUUAUAUUCAUGGCAAUCACAAAAGAGAUGACAGUAAAAAUGACUAAAAUCAAUGGCAAUCUUUAACAUAAUUCAUAUGUAAAAACGAACUAACCAAUCCAAAAUUCAUUGAAAUCAAACACG
RNAcentral lists this unclassified non-coding RNA (248 nucleotides) under Hevea brasiliensis (rubber tree). The record is from RNAcentral. Lineage: Eukaryota; Viridiplantae; Streptophyta; Magnoliopsida; Malpighiales; Euphorbiaceae.